CUAAUAUUUUCCCCACUCUUUUUUUAAAAGCUUAGCUUUACAGAUGGGUUUUUUUGCCAUGAAUGUAUGUCAACAUUCAGCACUGUAAAGUGUUGCUGGGGCUUCUGUACUAUGUGGCGUAGACUGGUGAAAGCAUAAGUGUUCUGAAGCAGUGAACUUUAAAGAGCUUUCUCAGUAUCUGGAUCUGGCAAUAACAUCUUCAGAAGCCUCAGAAUGAGCUUGCUGUAAAGUACUGAUGUUAGUCAUACAUAGAUUCAAAGUGUAGAUGCACAUCCUGAUAGCUUAAAAAUUCUGCUACUUUUAAGAUGAUGCUUUCAAGUUAAGUCUGUAAGGAAGAGAUUUAUUCAAGCUGUAGGAGUACUCAGAGGCAUUUCUGUUGCAUUACAUGUCCGCAGACAGCAUAAGUGUAGCCAAAUAGAAAGAAAAACAUUGAGCUUGGCUUCCUGUAAAGCUAUAUUAAACUUUCAUGAAGCUUGCUGCUGCCUUAGCUGUGCUUGGUAUAUCGUGGUGCUGCUUAUAGUCUUUGCUGCUGCACAGAAAGAACACCAUCAGAAAGGGUAGCUGUGUAGUUGAUCUUUGACAUGAUCUAUGCACGUUAUGAAAGCAUUAGCUGUCGGUACUUUCUUUUGAUAAGCACAGCUUUGUAAGGCAGCAAGUAUUCCAUCUGCGAGGCUGGUAUUGACACUGAACCAAGAAUGAGCCUGCAUCCUUAGAUGGUUAACAUUUUAGUCCUUUUACGGUAGGGUGCUUUCAUUCAUGGCAUAAUUUUCAGCUGCAGCUGUAACUAGUAAUUGGUACAACCUGUGUCCUCGGAGUUGUUGGGAUUUCUUCCAGCUGGAAUUUAAAUGUACCCCAAUGUGCACACAAUGUGCCCUUGUUUGAUUUUGAAAGUACUUAGCAUACUGGGGCAGCAGGGCAUAGGAAGGACUCCUGAGAGAAAUGGAGUAUGUCUGUAGGAGGUGGCUGUUGCCAAUCCUAUGUUUUGGUGUAGGUAGAACAAACAGAGCACUAAGCUAAACACUUGUCGCUUUUGAAUUUUGUUUAAGGUGCAAUUAUGAAACUAGCAAGGCUUUUAUUUUAAUGCAAACAUUAGAGAUGAGAGAGCACAUUCAAGACCUGCUUGCCCAGUGCACGUUAGUUAAAUUAGAUGGACUUUCCUUAUGAAGCACUGAAUAAUCCUGUUGUUGGUGUAAGGGCAGGCUAAGCUGUAUGCAAUUUUAAUGUUACUGCUCUCCUUAGACUGGUGGACUGGUCUACUAAGAGUUGUUCACCAUUCAGUGAAUGUCUUUAUAAAGUGUACAGUUGCCUUUUAGUUUAUGGCAGGUUACUACAUUUCAAUUACUCAAGCUUGAGGCUCCAAGUCCCCAGCUAAGCAAGAAGCUGAAUGGCCACAGUGAUAGCUAAAGCCAAUGGUUCCUGCAAGCACUUCAGUUUUUUGUGAACUGGACAGGAUUCUCAGAACAGGAGCUCCAGUGGGAAGAGAGUUAAGUUCAGAACAUUCCUGAUGGUAAACACUUAAGUGGCUAAUAUUUGGCAUGCCAGAUUAUCUGGCUGACGUGGUGAUCAUCUCUUGAGGUCCUUUUAGUGAAACAUUCUCCACUUUCUGGACUGCAGCCUGAGCUUAUUCCAAGCUCCAUUUCAUUCCACUGCAGGUUUCACUAGUGCAGUGCAUCUUUGAACCACUGAAGCCAUUAUGCUAAUAACUGAAUUAUAAGCAUAGUGAGUUAUUUCAUGCUUCCUGUGCUUUUGGUGCUAAUUCUACUUCAGCAUUUUGAUUUAAUACAAAUACCUUACAUGAAGUUUGUUUCCUAAGAUAUACUUUGAAUUGCUUCAGUGGGUCAGACCCUGUUCUCUGCAUUCAUUUUGGGCUUUGUCUCCCAGCUAGUAUGUCAGAGAUGCAUGGCAUUUGAUAGACAUUUUCUCUCUCUCAGGAGUGAAAUUCAGCAUGUGCUGUAGACUGACUUCAAAGAGUUUCUCCCAGUUUCUCUGUGGAAAUUUAGCCUACUUACACCAGCGGAUCUAUGAGAGACUAUAUUACAGUGUUUCAUCUGCUGGAGUCCACAAAUCAUUUGAUAGUCUUCUUCAAAAACAAUGUAUUUAGGUGGUUCAUUACCAAAGGAAAAAGUUAGACUAGCAGGAUUUAUAGAGCCGGGUAAGAACAAACUAAAACGAAACAAAAGCAACUCUCCAAACCCAGAAUGUUUUGUGGGGUUUUUUUUUAUUUGUUUGGUUGGGUUUUUCUUGCUUUAAAUCAUCCUGAAUGCCUUUUCUCAGCAGUGUGCUAGUGUACCUUUGUGCCACCAUGUUUCUCCUGUUAAUAUGUGGUCAUUGCUUUUGAGCUGUAAAUACUCCAGAGCAGACCAAACCUUCCAGGAAAAGUCUUCAAGGGCAUUUCCAUUGCUAUGAUCCACUGAAAGUGGGUUGCUGGAAAUCUCUGGACUUGCUGCCAGAAGAAAUGGGUUUGAUUGGAAGACCCUCUGUGAUGCAAGAAACUCCAAGCAGAAAUCUUUGAGAGGACUUAUUGCUAGUAAAAUAUAGACACUCUCAAAGUAAGAACAAAGUAAAGCUACCAGCUGUCAGCUGGAAGAAGGAAGAAAGGAAGAAAGAAAUGAAAAAAACUUUGUGUGUAGUUGACAGUUAAUCUGUAAGUUGCUGCAGACUGCAUUUAGCCUUUGUAGUAUCUAGAGAGAAAAAGAUGUCAUCCACGAUCACACAUAUUCCCCUGUACCACCAUCAGAAGGUUGUUCAGGCCUUACCUCUUCAAAGAUUUGUGCAUGUAUUUAAUCUUACUGAUUUAAUCUUACUUUUCAAAUGGUAAAAUUAAGCAUGUAGGUCAAUCUUUGCAGGAAUGAAAUGUGCACUUUUGUUUUUCUCGAAGUACAUGUCAGCUAAGCCAAACUG
Long non-coding RNA from Neopsephotus bourkii (Bourke's parrot), 2901 nucleotides. RefSeq lists it as uncharacterized. NCBI's taxonomy places the organism in Eukaryota, Metazoa, Chordata, Aves, Psittaciformes, Psittacidae. The record is from RefSeq and is a predicted model, not a curated record. The transcript is spliced from 3 exons.